UUACCAAAUGUAUAAAGUGUGCCCAAGGAAAGAUGUACUAAAACUCCUCCACAUAUUGCCAAAAUUCCUUUAAAACGUGGCCUUAAAACCAUGAUUUAAUAGAAUGUAAUAUCCAUUGGUAAAAUCUGGUAAAAUGUUGCGACUUUCGUCUCUGUGCUUGCGUGCGAUCACGUUACUUGAAGAUGACUAACAUGAGUUUCCGAUUUAACUAGAUUAUUUCAAUAAAUUAUAAUACAUAAUAUCUUUCGCCGAACAUAACUUCGGCCCCUUCGAACAUUCCUUUUUCGUUGUAGUCUUGUUGGAAACCAUUGGCGUCGAAAGAUCAAUAAGUGUGGG
Non-coding RNA from Paramuricea clavata, 336 nucleotides. The record is from the annotation of a GenBank genome assembly. NCBI's taxonomy places the organism in Eukaryota, Metazoa, Cnidaria, Anthozoa, Malacalcyonacea, Plexauridae.